GACGAACGCUGGCGGCGUGCCUAAUACAUGCAAGUUGAGCGCUGAAGGUUGGUCCUUGUACCAACUGGAUGAGCAGCGAACGGGUGAGUAACGCGUGGGGAAUCUGCCUUUGAGCGGGGGACAACAUUUGGAAACGAAUGCUAAUACCGCAUAAAAACUUUAAACACAAGUUUUAAGUUUGAAAGAUGCAAUUGCAUCACUCAAAGAUGAUCCCGCGUUGUAUUAGCUAGUUGGUGAGGUAAAGGCUCACCAAGGCGAUGAUACAUAGCCGACCUGAGAGGGGGAUCGGCCACAUUGGGACUGAGACACGGCCCAAACUCCUACGGGAGGCAGCAGUAGGGAAUCUUCGGCAAUGGACGAAAGUCUGACCGAGCAACGCCGCGGGAGUGAAGAAGGUUGUCGGAUCGUAAAACUCUGUUGGUAGAGAAGAACGUUGGUGAGAGUGGAAAGCUCAUCAAGUGACGGUAACUACACAGAAAGGGACGGCUAACUACGUG
This 497-nucleotide ribosomal RNA is filed under the name uncultured bacterium. RNAcentral describes it as "partial 16S ribosomal RNA". It matches the Rfam family "Bacterial small subunit ribosomal RNA", at positions 28 to 507 of the family's 1533-position model. The record is from RNAcentral.